GAGCCAACGUGAUUCAGAAGCAUUUCCCUUUUCCCACAAAACCAGCAAAAGCUUGAAGGGUCAGUUCACACAAAGUACAACAAGAAAAACACAUCACUCUCUGCUACAGGGGUAUUUACCUCUGCGGAUAUUUCCGGUUCAUUAGCACAACAAAACCUGUCCGAGAGAUUUCUGCUUCCGGCCCAAAUACAAUGAGUGUGAGUUUGAUUCCAUUAACUGGUGCUCUGAGAAAAUUAAAAGUAUCAUAAAAAUAAAUCAUCAUGGGCAAUUAGAAGCACUGCUAAAGGAAACUGCUGGUUUGUCAGAUGGAACCCUUAUUGGUGACAGAAUGCUCUACAGAAAGACACAGAACAGAUGUCGUUGGUAUCAUUCAAGUUAUUAAUAGCAGCUGGGGUCUUUAAUCCACUCUGACUGACCAGGAACCGCUGAGACAGAGUCCAGAUUUAUAUACGACAUAGAGCCUCAAGAGCUGCAUGUGAAUGAGCAGCAGGGCCCCGUUAACCGCAUGCAUGCAGAGUGGAGCUCACACAAAGAGAGAGAGAGGCAGCGCCGGAGCGAUGAUGAGUCCAUCCCCGGCGAAUAAAUUGGGGUUGACUUUGUGAGGGCCUUGAAGGAAAGGAGAGGGAAUGGAAUGAGAAUGCGGCGUUGCUACGCUGCAGAAUGAUAUUCAUGGCAGAUGAGAAGCCGCGGUAAUGUUAGGUGAGGGGAGGCGGGGAAGCUUCAUGAACCCUUGGUGAGGGUGGAGGGCGGCUGACCCCAGCUGCUGCUGCCGCCUUUGCCGCCAAAGAGGACGUAGAUUCUUAUUCGAACAGCAGCGUCAAGCUGAGUUAAAGGUUUUAAUCAGUGAUCCGGGAGGACAAAGAAAAUAUAAACGUUUGGGUCGUGGGACCCUGCUUCGUGUCACCACGUUGCAUAGCAAAAGCUUGAAAAUCUAAACAACUGAAAAAACAGAAAGUAGCCGUGUAAUAUUCCUGGUAAACGUCUUUCUUUUCUUUUUUUUUCCUUGACAGUUAAGGCUGUUCCCUUUUUCUUUUUUUAGCUGAAAAGGGCAAAGCCUGAUAUGAAUAUUCAUGAACACGGUCUGUAGACCUGUGUUCGAAUGGAUAAAUACAACUAAACUAUCUUUUUUUAAAUAAAUGCUGCAGGAUAAAAAUGCAAAAAAAUGCACGACUUUCUGAGGGUCAUUAAAAAUUGAAUCCUUUUGGAGGAAUGGAUCUCUGAAUUCAGCAACGAAGUUGAGCAAUUAAAUUAUUUAGACCUCCCGCAGUGAGAAAUGGUGCUAAUUAGCAUCAAACUACUUUGGUAUGAUGAGAUGAGCCAGUAUCACACAGGUGCAAUUGUCACUUUGUGCUGUUAAAUUAUGAAGGAGCUGACACUUGUUUCAAGGGCUUGUUACUUCUUCCACCUCAGAUCUGUACAGGGAAGUCACACCUGCCUGCUGAAAAAAUGUUGAAAUGUCAGCCGAAUGUGUGUGUGUGUGUGUGUGUGUGUGUGUGUGUGUGUGUGUAUGUGUUUGCGAUCUUGACAGAGCUGCAUUCUUUGGCCGUGAAAAAACAAGAUUUCUUUGAAAGCAAUCAUUUAAUUGUGCUUGAAGCAUUGAGUAAAACAGCAAAGUGAGUGUUCUGUUAAUGACUUGGGAAUAGAAAAAGAGUUAUGUGAUGGGCCGUGUCAGGAGGUACUGGUCUGCACAUAUCUGACUCGGCCAUAUUUCGGAGCCUUGUGUGUUGUGGGUAAUCCUGUCACGGUGCGUCUCCGGGUGCAUGAGUGUGACAGUAAAGCAGGGAGUAGGGGGAUGGACGGGGGGCUGCUGGGGUUCUUAACACACGACACGUUACCCAGACACGGCUACGAGUGGCCGGCUGCACAGAGAGGAAGAGGAGCAUCCUGCUGGGGGAGUGAAGGCUUCACGCGCAGGGACAGCAUGAUGGAUGAGGGGAGAAAGCUGCGGGAGGAAAUAAAUCAAUACCCCACCCAAACCUCCAUUCUUUCCAGUGGAUAGUCCCAUACUUGGUGUUUUGACCGGUUUUAUUUUAAGGAUACGCCCCCUGAAAUUGACCUCGCAGCUAUUAGAUAUUCCGCUCCCUAAGUAGCAUUUCCUGUACAAUAUGGUGGCUUUUCAGCAGAAGAAAAGCAAACAAAUGAAGUCCCCCUCGGG
Molecule: long non-coding RNA, 2155 nt
Organism: Gasterosteus aculeatus aculeatus (three-spined stickleback)
Lineage: Eukaryota; Metazoa; Chordata; Actinopteri; Perciformes; Gasterosteidae
Source: Ensembl